AUGACCAGUAGAUUUCCCAAGAGGAAUGUGAAGGAACUGGUUGCCCUCUAAACAUGGCCAGGACCACCACGGGGUCCAAGUUACCACUUUCAAUCAAUUACAAAGUGCCCAUUCCCUACCAUCUAAGGCAAGCACAAGCGCUGGAGAGGAGAGGACAGCAGCACAGGUGGAAACAAUGGAGAAGCAAAAAGUGAAGUGAGGGCAAGGGCCGAGAAGAAAAGAACCCGGGGGAUGUAAAGCAAAAAAAGAUUUAGAAACUCUUCGAGUUCGGCGAGGGCUGGGAGACCUAAAAACUACUUCAAGAAGGAAGACGGAAGGAAAGAGGCAAGGGCCUGCAGGCGAGAGGCCCCACCCCUAAGCCCUCGGGCAGACAGCCCCGCCCCCCGAGGGGAGGAGGGAUUUCCUCCCUGCGGGCAGCUGCUUCCGGUGGAGUCCGGAAGACGCUAUCGGGAAAGGACUAAAACUGCGCAGCCAAUCGGGGCGACACUUUCGUCUUCCCGGAGGACUCGUGGGUAACUUGCUCUUGGGAACCUGCACCAUGGCGUCUGGCUGCAAGAUUGGCCCGUCCAUCCUUAACAGCGAUUUGGCCAAUUUAGGGGCUGAGUGCCUCCGGAUGCUGGACUCUGGGGCCGAUUAUUUGCACCUGGAUGCACCCUGCUCUUCAGGGAGGUCAGUUUUUUUGCAUUUUGUUCCCAACAUCACCUUUGGGCACCCUGUGGUAGAAAGCCUCCGAAAGCAGCUAGGCCAGGACCCUUUCUUUGAUAUGCACAUGAUGGUGUCCAGGCCGGAACAGUGGGUAAAACCAAUGGCUGUAGCAGGAGCCAAUCAAUAUACCUUUCAUCUUGAGGCUACUGAGAACCCUGGGGCUUUGAUAAAAGACAUUCGGGAGAAUGGGAUGAAGGUUGGCCUUGCCAUCAAACCAGGAACUACAGUUGAGUAUUUGGCACCAUGGGCGAAUCAGAUAGAUAUGGCCUUGGUUAUGACAGUGGAACCUGGGUUUGGAGGGCAGAAAUUCAUGGAAGAUAUGAUGCCAAAGGUUCAUUGGUUGAGGACCCAGUUCCCGUCCUUGGACAUAGAGGUCGAUGGUGGAGUAGGUCCUGACACUAUCCAUAAAUGUGCAGAGGCAGGAGCUAACAUGAUUGUGUCUGGCAGUGCCAUUAUGAGGAGUGAUGACCCCAGAUCUGUGAUCAACCUGUUAAGAAAUGUUUGCUCAGAAGCUGCUCAGAAACGUUCUCUUGAUCGAUGAAACCGUGAGGAGUCCAGUGUUUACGCUCAUGAAAUCUUUCUCCUGGAAAACAAGAAUAUCGACUACCAAAACAUACCACAGUUGAAGCAGGGCUGUUUCUCUGAGCAGCUGUUCAUUCCAGUGACUAAAAUCUAUCCUGCAGAAUGUUCCAAGAGGUUAGAAAUUGCAGAACCAGAUGGCUGAGGAUAUUCUGGACGUUAUGGAUUUUGACCUCAAGGAUAUAUAUUAUAUUAAUCCAACAAAGACCAGGUAGGCUAAAAGAUGAUAAGGUAGAGUUAAUCCGUAAAUAUUUAAAGUUGUGUCCCAAAUUAUACUUUGACAACAAAUAUGUAUCUGCCACUUGCAAAUAGUCUUGAUAUAUGGCAAGAAAUAACAGGACCUAAACUUUAGGCUACUAGGGGUUUUGAGAAAUAAAAAGUUUGAAAAAUAAGAACAUUAACACUUCUGCAUAGAAUAGAGCUUGCUUGUUUUUUUCCUAUACUACAGUGUAAAAAUUUGUUUUUGACUUAGGAAAGGUUUGUGCCAUGAACAGGUGCCGUUUAAUCAAAUCAGACAACACGAGGCAUAUAGAAAUAACUUUAAUUAAAAAACUUACAUAGAAGAUUAUAAUGUCAGACAUGACAAAAAGAUUUGAGCUUAUUUGCCUAGACAACUUGGGUUUGUCUGGCUUUUGUUUUCUUUUUUAAGAAUAAAUGUACAGUAAAACUAUAAGCAAAAAUUUGUCAGUUUUGAAUUUGAAUUUUUUUCCUUCUUUAAAGAGACUAGUAGAAUUCCCCAUCCCUAACAAAAACUUGGUGUCAGUCCCCCAGACUAGGCCAGGUGGCCAGGAUUGUCAGUUAUAUGGGGACUAUAACUUGAAUAACCUUUUUUUUUUUUACAUGAGAGUAAGCAAUUCAUAAAUUGUCAACUUUUAUAUAGAAAAAAUUAUGUAAUAGCUUCAAGAAGUUUCUUUAAUGUAUACUCCUGUAUUCAGUACUGAAGCACUAUCCUUUAAAAAAAUUUCUCACUCUAGCAUACACAUGAGAAUAGAUGCUUGUUUGGAUAGAGUAAGCUAAUGGUAAGGAAUGACCAAAUUAACUAGAAAUACAACAUUUUUUACUUUCCUAUUUGUUGCUCAUUUUCACUUGGGGUCUUCUCUUUAUGAGAUACAUAGGAUAGAUAAAACUCAAGUUUUAAAAUUAGACCAAUAUUUAACUCUGCUUUGCUUGUCUUAAUCUGUUAGGAGUGAAUAGAAGAUGAUCUGAAUUUAGUCCAACAGAUAACAGUGAUUUCAAAUAAAGGCAUAUUGUGUUAUCUGGUAUAGAAAUUUCCAUAUAUAACUUCUAUUGGUUAAACAUGUUUAAAAUCUCCAUAGUCACUGGGAACCUGUGCUUUACAGUGCAGCUUACAUUCCAUGGGAUAAUUCAUCCAUGCAUUUCAAGUGGAGUGGUCACUGCCAGUGUUUUUUAAAACUACGUGUGUGUACAUGUAUGUGUAUAUACUCAAUACACACAUAUUUGUAUAUUCCCAUAUACAAAGGCAUAUAUUUGAGGCAAUUUUAAUGAAUUACCA
This is an RNA transcript of Herpailurus yagouaroundi (jaguarundi), 2797 nucleotides long. It is a transcript of the gene named ribulose-5-phosphate-3-epimerase, with no coding region annotated. The transcript has 9 exons. Lineage: Eukaryota; Metazoa; Chordata; Mammalia; Carnivora; Felidae. The record is from RefSeq and is a predicted model, not a curated record.